UACAGAGGUCCCGAGCGUUGUUCGGAUUCACUGGGCGUAAAGGGUGCGUAGGCGGUCGGGUAAGUCUGAUGUGAAAUCCCGCAGCUUAACUGCGGAACGGCAUUGGAUACUAUUCGGCUCGAGGAGUGGAGGGGAGACUGGAAUUCUCGGUGUAGCAGUGAAAUGCGUAGAUAUCGAGAGGAACACCUGUGGCGAAGGCGAGUCUCUGGACACUUCCUGACGCUGAGGCACGAAAGCCAGGGGAGCAAACGGG
RNAcentral lists this ribosomal RNA (253 nucleotides) under uncultured bacterium. Its description in RNAcentral is "partial 16S ribosomal RNA". It matches the Rfam family "Bacterial small subunit ribosomal RNA", at positions 524 to 776 of the family's 1533-position model. The record is from RNAcentral.